Molecule: ribosomal RNA, 466 nt
Filed under: bacterium W13M5
Lineage: Bacteria
Description: bacterial SSU rRNA
Rfam family: Bacterial small subunit ribosomal RNA
Source: RNAcentral
GUGGGAAAUUGCCCAGUAGUGGGGGACAACAUUCGGAAACGGAUGCUAAUACCGCAUACGCCCUACGGGGGAAAGCAGGGGAUCUUCGGACCUUGUGCUACUGGAUAUGCCCGCGUCGGAUUAGCUAGUUGGUGAGGUAAUGGCUCACCAAGGCGACGAUCCGUAGCUGGUCUGAGAGGAUGAUCAGCCACACUGGGACUGAGACACGGCCCAGACUCCUACGGGAGGCAGCAGUGGGGAAUAUUGGACAAUGGGCGCAAGCCUGAUCCAGCCAUGCCGCGUGUGUGAAGAAGGCCCUAGGGUUGUAAAGCACUUUCAGCAGGGAGGAAGGCCUUAAAGCUAAUACCUUUGAGGAUUGACGUUACCUGCAGAAGAAGCACCGGCUAAACUCCCGUGCCAGCAGCCCGCGGUAAUACGGAGGGUGCAAGCGUUAAAUCGGAAUUUACUGGGGCGUAAAGCGCGCGUA